Molecule: ribosomal RNA, 443 nt
Filed under: uncultured bacterium
Lineage: Bacteria
Description: partial 16S ribosomal RNA
Rfam family: Bacterial small subunit ribosomal RNA
Source: RNAcentral
CCUACGGGAGACAGCAGUGGGGAAUAUUGCACAAUGGGCGAAAGCCUGAUGCAGCAACGCCGCGUGAAGGAAGAAGGGUUUCGGCUCGUAAACUUCUAUCAACAGGGACGAAAGAAAUGACGGUACCUGAAUAAGAAGCCCCGGCUAACUACGUGCCAGCAGCCGCGGUAAUACGGAGGGGGCAAGCGUUAUCCGGAAUUACUGGGUGUAAAGGGUGAGUAGGCGGCAUGGUAAGCCAGAUGUGAAAGCCUUGGGCUUAACCCGAGGAUUGCAUUUGGAACUAUCAAGCUAGAGUACAGGAGAGGAAAGCGGAAUUCCUAGUGUAGCGGUGAAAUGCGUAGAUAUUAGGAAGAACACCAGUGGCGAAGGCGGCUUUCUGGACUGAAACUGACGCUGAGGCACGAAAGCGUGGGGAGCGAACAGGAUUAGAUACCCCAGUAGUC